UGGUGCUGUGGUGGUGUUCUUAUUAUUUCUCGUAGUGGAUGGUUUUGGGGCGCUUGAGUAGCAGGGUGUUGUGGGGGAAGGAAGCAGUGGCACUGGUGCUCUACCGUAUUGUGUGCAGGCAGGCAGGCUGUGUGAGUGUGUGUGUGAGUGAGUAUGUGUGUGUGUGUGGCAAAGGGUACAGGCUGCAUCCAUCUAGGCAGCUCUGUUGAUUCUGUAGGGCUUAGUCCUUCUACCUCUCUCUUUCUCUCUCGCUCGCUCGCUCGCUUGCUGUGUAGGGCUGCAUUUGUGUAGGUGAGUACCCAAAUCCCCCAAAAUAGCGCUUCUAGAAGUUGUGUGCUCUAAAGCUGCUGCUGCAUCUCGCGGUGGUGUCAUGGUCGUUAGUGAAGUGGUCGCGUGUUUGUUUCAAUAGUGAUGGAGGUUGGGUUGAUUGGUAGGAGUGUUGGUGUUGUGUGCAGUGGAAUGUGGUUUUGUUGUUUGUGGAGGUGAGAGGUCAGAGAGAGCUCGGGUGGCCUACUAGACUGGCAAUUGUUGUCAGGCAUAGAUGGUGUGCCUGCGGAGGCGUCAUGUGAUGAUGGUGUAGCUGAGGUAGUGAACUCUGUUCAGAGCUUUGUAGCCUGUAGGUUGCGUUGUUUUGGGUGUUUCUGUAGGAAUGAAUGAUGACUGUGGCUUCUGUCUGGUUAUGUGAGUACUCCAUUUGUUUCACUAGGAGAGGCGGGCGGUUUCGGAUUGAUUGUUUUCUGAUUCUGGGGCGUGGAUUGAUGAAAUGAUUGCUCGCAAUCGGUAGUCAGCCUCGUGUUGGCGAUUAUGGUCCUGCGCUAGUCGUGGGAUUGGAAUGCUUGGUAGUUUUCUUAAGGGUGACUGAACGUAUGGGUUGGGUGGGUCCUCCCCAUGUGCAAGCCCUGCGAGGUUGAUCAUUGAACGUUUCGUUCACAGCAGCUGUGUGGUUGCUGCUUUUUUGGCGUUUUCGAUGAAUGCACCAUAGCCUAGCGAGGUCGGCUCACGCCUUGCUCUUGAGCUCUUGGUUUUGGGAUUGAAUUGAUUUUAGGUUGGACGUGAACAGCAGGAUCGGCUUCCUCACACUUCCUUUUUAGCAACCUUCGUGUUCUUGAGGUUACUAACAAUCGCCUCCCGAGAGUUCAAUUCCUUUCCCUUGUGAGCUAGUUGUGUAUGAAACACCGUUUUGGGAAAACAUUUUGGCGGAAUUGACACGGUUUGGAGUGCACGUCGGGAGAUAUGGUCUUUCUCGAAGCUUCAAUGACACCACCUAAAACUUAAUCACAAGCCAGGAAAUUCCUGCAGACAUCUAAGAAACACGUGAUAGAUCUGGUUGCUUCAGAGCACUAGGGUUCAAGGACCUCUGCAACGUUGCCAGCGCAGUUGGGUGUUACCAAUGGGAAGUGCUCUUAUGAAAUAUCACUGUGGGUCCUUUGGUCUAGGAGUUUGCUGAAGGAUAAAUUUAACUGGGAAAUCGUUUAACGAAGAAGGGUCUGAAAGCCAGCGCACGGUUUCCGAAAGCCAGCACACGAAGUGUCCGGCCCCUUUGUUUUCAACCGAUUUUGUUUGUCUCUUUAGGCACCAGUCUUUCUACCUUUCAAGCUAUAGUAGGCUUGCUCGCUUAUAUCUUUUAAAGAAAAGCCUUUCAGAAGCUUUCGUACUUCCUGUGGGGUCGUUGUGAGAUGCUUUCACUAUCCUUUGAUUGUUUCCUCGUCCUUUUCUUCUCUCAGAUGUGUUCUGCAGACUGAUUGAGAUUUUAUUUACUCCAAUUAGCAGUGCUGGCCCGGUAGAAGCUGACACUGGAAAUGACAUAAGGCUGAGUGUACUAGAAAUGUGGCUGGAGCUAAGUGCCGUGAGUUCUAGAUUGAUGUGUCCAUCUGUUCUGGAGACACUAUUGUGUACCAGCGUACAUUGUCAGGGGUCAGGUCACUCUGGUGCAGUCAGUGGGAUUGUGCCUCUCCUGCCUAAUUAAAUGAGACGUUCGAGAAAGUGUAAGUUGUGAGACUAGCAAUUAUGCUAUAGAUGAAUUUUUGGUUGUGCCCUGUCUAAAAUGCUACGUUGCAAGUCCCCUCCGUUUGAUAGUUUACUUUGUAACGUAAAUCACAUUAGAGCUCUCCUUAUCUCCUUAACUGAGUGUGUUGUUGUGUAGAAUAUGUUGGAGGAGGCUAUCGGAUGGUAUCAAGAGGGAGUUGUAGUUAGCGCAGACUUUGCUUCUACAUCUUGUUCCAUCUUCGGGUCAAUUUUGCAACAACCGAUACGACUAUUCCAAUCUUUACUGCAUUCCGUUGUGAGUGAUUUCCCUAUUUGCAAGGAUCUCAUAUUUGUGUCGAAAGAAGGCAUGCAAUCUCUAUGUCUACCAGCGCUUACU
RNAcentral lists this long non-coding RNA (2362 nucleotides) under Physcomitrium patens. RNAcentral describes it as "long non-coding RNA (PPAT_LNC007733)". Lineage: Eukaryota; Viridiplantae; Streptophyta; Bryopsida; Funariales; Funariaceae. The record is from RNAcentral.